This 377-nucleotide ribosomal RNA is filed under the name uncultured cyanobacterium. Its description in RNAcentral is "bacterial SSU rRNA". It matches the Rfam family "Bacterial small subunit ribosomal RNA", at positions 976 to 1354 of the family's 1533-position model. Lineage: Bacteria; Bacillati; Cyanobacteriota. The record is from RNAcentral.
AGGGUUUGACAUCCUGCGAACCCCUGGGAAAUGAGGGGGUGCCUUCGGGAGCGCAGAGACAGGUGGUGCAUGGCUGUUGUCAGCUCGUGUCGUGAGAUAUUGGGUUAAGUUCCGCAACGAGCGCAACCCACGUCGUUAGUUGCCAGCAUUCAGUUGGGCACUCUAGCGAGACCGCCGGUGAUAAACCGGAGGAAGGUGUGGAUGACGUCAAGUCAUCAUGCCCCUUACAUCCUGGGCUACACACGUAAUACAAUGCUACGGACAAAGGGCAGCAAGCUCGCGAGAGUAAGCAAAUCCCAUAAACCGUGGCUCAGUUCAGAUCGUAGGCUGCAACUCGCCUACGUGAAGGAGGAAUCGCUAGUAAUCGCAGGUCAGCA